AAAGUCGUAACAAGGUCUCCGUUGGUGAACCAGCGGAGGGAUCAUUACAGAGUUGCAAAACUCCCAAAACCAUCGCGAACCCUACCCUACACCGUUGCUUCGGCGGGCGGGCGCCCCGUGCGCCCCCCAGGCCCCCAGGCGCCCGCCGGAGGUACCUAACUCUUGAUUAUACGGCCUCUCUGAGUCUUCUGUACUGAAUAAGUCAAAACUUUCAACAACGGAUCUCUUGGUUCUG
This 235-nucleotide unclassified non-coding RNA is filed under the name Ascomycota sp. RNAcentral's name for it is "partial contains small subunit ribosomal RNA, internal transcribed spacer 1, and 5.8S ribosomal RNA". The stretch from base 1 to 47 matches the Rfam family "Eukaryotic small subunit ribosomal RNA", at positions 1785 to 1831 of the family's 1831-position model. Lineage: Eukaryota; Fungi; Ascomycota. The record is from RNAcentral.